AGGAGGACAUGGCCAUCAUAAUGGGGUGAAAAGUGUGAUGGAGCAUUUGAAUGGUCGCCGGGAAUUUCCACGAUUUUGCAUAGGCAUUGGGAAUCCACCUGGGACUAUGGACAUGAAGGCAUAUCUGUUACAAAAAUUCAGUGAUACAGAGCGGAAACAGGUGGAUGCAGCUCUUGAUCAAGGAGUUGCAGCUGUCAGGACGGUAGUAUUGGAAGGAUUUGGCAGUAGAAUCUCGCGAUUUAAUAUAGGGCAGAAAUACAAGUAUCACAAAGUUUAAUGUUAUGUAUGGAAGAACACGAUAGUUGUAAUAACUUAAAACUAGCUAGUUGAGUAUUUCACUGGAGUCUACUUAGAAAGUUUUUGGACUCCGAUUAAUGUUUAUAGUUUCAUCUGUUAGCACUUGUAGAAUAGACUUAUUUCAAAG
Molecule: unclassified non-coding RNA, 424 nt
Filed under: Hevea brasiliensis (rubber tree)
Lineage: Eukaryota; Viridiplantae; Streptophyta; Magnoliopsida; Malpighiales; Euphorbiaceae
Source: RNAcentral